UUGAAGUAUUGCACUUUGUCAUUCGUUGUGAGAAUUUGAUCUCGUGAGUUAUCGUAAUUGUUGUAUUAAGUUACCUACCUAGUUCGUAUGCACUAGGUUACAAGGCUAAAUCAAUAAACUAAGCUCUGCCUGUGUAAAUCUGCAAUAUAUCAAGGCUUAUCUGUAAACUAAACUUUGGCCGUAUGAAUCUGCAUGAUUAUAAUAUAUCAUUUUAUUUGAAGAUCUUUCUUCUUCAAGACAUCAUUCUUUCUUUCUCUAUUAACGAGAUGUCUCUUCUUCAACACACCUUUCACAUUUUUUUUUGAAAAACAAUUUCUGCAACAAAGAAUCAGAGUUGAAGAUCCAGAUCCACGAUAACCAUAUUCAGCAUCUUGAAGAAAAUCGCACGUGAAUAUGAAUAUGAAUAUGAAGAUGAUGAUAAUGAAUAAGAUACGAAGAUGAUGAUGAAUCAGAUAUGGAUCUUGUUACUUUUUUUAAAUUCUCUUUAUGUUUUUUUUUUGAUCUAAAAUUACACAUUUUUUAAGUGUUUUUAGUUGAAUCAGGCAUUUAAGGUAUGAAUCAGGCAUUUAAGGCAUUUUUGUCUUUUUUACAGUUCAGUGGAUGAUGUGAUGGCGGUUCGAUGUUGAAGAUGACCCAAAAGAUGUUCGAUGUUUAAACAUGAUGUUCCAGAUCUAGAAGAUCCUCCAGUUUAGUGGAUGUCCGUUUAUAAGGUGGGUCGACCAACCCAUGUGCCCCCGAUUUGCUAUGAUUAUUUCGGGACUAUUGAGAACUAUUAACAGGCUACAAGUUAAGGUUAUAGCUCAUGAAGAUGAAAUUAGAAAGAAGAAAACCAUUACUUGAUUUAUGAUUUUCGUUGUUGUAACUUCCACAAUGUUUGUUUGUACUCCUGGAUUGAUUUCAAAGUUUUUAUAUUUAAUGUGUAACUUUCCUUUGGCUCAUUUUCCUUCAUGUUUUACAAAGUACAUUGGACCUUCAAAUUAU
Molecule: long non-coding RNA, 981 nt
Filed under: Helianthus annuus (common sunflower)
Lineage: Eukaryota; Viridiplantae; Streptophyta; Magnoliopsida; Asterales; Asteraceae
Source: RNAcentral